GAACACCAACCCCGCCGCCUUCUCCCACUUUGAAGGAUCCAUGGAGGGAAAUAGCCUGGGGAGACAAAGCGACAGAUCUCCAGUAUGUGCAGGAUUAUGAGCCUGGAAACGAUGACAUCAAACAUCUCCGAAUCCUUCUGUACGGACCAGUCGGAGUUGGAAAGUCCAGCUUCAUCAACUCUGUCAGCAACGUCCUACGAGGCAGAAUGAGUACUCCUGCUUUGACCAGUGCAAUGACCUCUGACAGAAGUUUCACC
Molecule: long non-coding RNA, 257 nt
Organism: Perca flavescens (yellow perch)
Lineage: Eukaryota; Metazoa; Chordata; Actinopteri; Perciformes; Percidae
Exons: 3
Source: RefSeq, a predicted model, not a curated record